GCCCAUGUAGCUCAAUGAAAGAGCAUCGCCUCUUCAUACCGCGCUAACUUGCCAUACUUACAGGCGAAGAUGUAGGUUCGAAUCCUGCCAUUGGUU
This is a non-coding RNA of Arthromyces matolae, 96 nucleotides long. The record is from the annotation of a GenBank genome assembly. Lineage: Eukaryota; Fungi; Basidiomycota; Agaricomycetes; Agaricales; Lyophyllaceae.